Molecule: long non-coding RNA, 294 nt
Organism: Phacochoerus africanus (Common warthog)
Lineage: Eukaryota; Metazoa; Chordata; Mammalia; Artiodactyla; Suidae
Exons: 3
Source: RefSeq, a predicted model, not a curated record
ACCUACCCAGCAUCGGAUAUUUCCCACCCCCUACUUACCUGGGCAAAGAAAGAGCUUUGUGGACAGAGGCUUAAGUGCUCCUGAAGGGCUUGGUGACUCGGAGAUGCCAGGAAUCCCAGCACUUCACAUACAUCUAAGUCUAGCAUGUAGGUGAUCCACAAAGAGUGCUGAGUGAGAACCAAAAGAAAAAGACCAAGGUACACUGCUAUGCCUGAUAGAUGUUUGGGGUGGCCCAGUCUUCAGCAGGUUACCAGGAAGUAGUUCCUGUUUUCUGAAUAUUGGAGCUGUUUGAAG